AAUCCAUAGUGAGGGCACUUUCGUAUCACCAAUUGGAAAUGCUCUCAUGCCUCGUAUAUCGUUUCUUCUUCAAAUUGCUUAAAGUUGAUGAUAUUGUGUCUGAGUUG
Non-coding RNA from Gossypium raimondii (Peruvian cotton), 107 nucleotides. NCBI's taxonomy places the organism in Eukaryota, Viridiplantae, Streptophyta, Magnoliopsida, Malvales, Malvaceae. The record is from Rfam.